AUACGUAGGGGGCAAGCGUUAUCCGGAUUUACUGGGUGUAAAGGGAGCGUAGACGGAAGGCCAAGUCUGAUGUGAAAGCCCGCGGCUCAACUGCGGGACUGCAUUGGAAACUGGUCAUCUGGAGUGCAGGAGGGGUAAGCGGAAUUCCUAGUGUAGCGGUGAAAUGCGUAGAUAUUAGGAGGAACACCGGUGGCGAAGGCGGCUUACUGGACGAUCACUGACGUUGAGGCUCGAAAGCGUGGGGAGCAAACAGGAUUAGAUACCCUGGUAGUCCACGCGGUAAACGAUGAAUACCAGGUGUCGGGGGGCGAAGCUCUUCGGUGCCGAAAGCAAACGCAGUAAGUAUUCCACCUGGGGAGUACGUUCGCAAGAAUGAAACUCAAAUGAAUUGACGGGG
This 397-nucleotide ribosomal RNA is filed under the name uncultured bacterium. RNAcentral describes it as "partial 16S ribosomal RNA". It matches the Rfam family "Bacterial small subunit ribosomal RNA", at positions 523 to 918 of the family's 1533-position model. The record is from RNAcentral.